RNAcentral lists this ribosomal RNA (492 nucleotides) under uncultured bacterium. Its description in RNAcentral is "partial 16S ribosomal RNA". It matches the Rfam family "Bacterial small subunit ribosomal RNA", at positions 29 to 507 of the family's 1533-position model. The record is from RNAcentral.
AGUGAACGCUGGCGGUAGGCCUAACACAUGCAAGUCGAACGGCAGCACAGUAAGAGCUUGCUCGUACGGUUGGCGACUGGCGGACGGGUGAGGAAGACAUCGGAAUCUACUUUUUCGUGGGGUGUAACGAAGGGGAACUUACGCUAAUACCGCAUACGACCUACGGGUGAAAGUAGUGGAUCUUCGUACCUUGCGCGAUUGAGUGAGCCGUUGUCGGAUUAGCGAGUUGGCGGGGUAAAGGCCCACCAAUGCGACGAUCCGUAGCUGGCCUGAGAGGAUGAUCAGAGACACUGGAAGUGAGUGACGGUCCAGACUCCUACUGGAGGACGGCGUAGGCAAUAUCGGACGACAGGCGCAAGCAUGAUCCAGCCAUACGGCGUGGGUGGAGAAGGCCUUCGGGUUGUAAAGCCCUUUUGUUGGGAAAGAAAAGCAGCAGGUUAAGAAGAAGCUGUUAUGACGGUACCCAAAGAAUAAGCACCGGCUAACUUCGUG